RNAcentral lists this transfer RNA (77 nucleotides) under Vibrio parahaemolyticus. RNAcentral's name for it is "tRNA-Asp". It matches the Rfam family "tRNA". Rfam says of the family: Transfer RNA (tRNA) molecules are approximately 80 nucleotides in length. Their secondary structure includes four short double-helical elements and three loops (D, anti-codon, and T loops). Further hydrogen bonds mediate the characteristic L-shaped molecular structure. tRNAs have two regions of fundamental functional importance: the anti-codon, which is responsible for specific mRNA codon recognition, and the 3' end, to which the tRNAs corresponding amino acid is attached (by aminoacyl-tRNA synthetases). tRNAs cope with the degeneracy of the genetic code in two manners: having more than one tRNA (with a specific anti-codon) for a particular amino acid; and 'wobble' base-pairing, i.e. permitting non-standard base-pairing at the 3rd anti-codon position. RNAcentral also lists the same sequence under 1 other name. The record is from RNAcentral. Lineage: Bacteria; Pseudomonadati; Pseudomonadota; Gammaproteobacteria; Vibrionales; Vibrionaceae.
GGAGUUAUAGUCUAGAGGCUUAGGACGCAUGCCUGUCACGCAUGAGAUCGCGGGUUCGAAUCCCGUUAACUCCGCCA